RNAcentral lists this long non-coding RNA (312 nucleotides) under Salvia miltiorrhiza (redroot sage). RNAcentral's name for it is "long non-coding RNA (SMIL_LNC009598)". Lineage: Eukaryota; Viridiplantae; Streptophyta; Magnoliopsida; Lamiales; Lamiaceae. The record is from RNAcentral.
CGUGGGAGCAGCAACGACAUGUCCAAGCAUGGACUCACUGACGGAGGAGAGAAGCCAGCUGAGUAGAAACUGAUCUUUGCGGUGCCAAAGAGCAUACUCUGGAUUAGGAGCUCCAGAGGAAGACGAAAGAGAGCGCGAUGGAGAAGUAGCAGUAGAGGAGAUCAGGUUGUCGAGACCAUGAGCAUAGAUGGUGGCGAUAGCUUGAGCUCGCCAGAAAACAUAGUUCGUGCGAUCUAGCUUGAUGAUUGUAGGUAGAUGUGGUAGAUUUGCAGCAGAAUUGCGAUUUUCCAUGGUGAGUGAGAGAAAAAUCGG